This 495-nucleotide ribosomal RNA is filed under the name uncultured bacterium. Its description in RNAcentral is "partial 16S ribosomal RNA". It matches the Rfam family "Bacterial small subunit ribosomal RNA", at positions 28 to 506 of the family's 1533-position model. The record is from RNAcentral.
GACGAACGCUGGCGGCGUGCCUAAUACAUGCAAGUUGAGCGAUGAAGAUUGGUGCUUGCACCAAUUUGAAGAGCAGCGAACGGGUGAGUAACGCGUGGGGAAUCUGCCUUUGAGCGGGGGACAACAUUUGGAAACGAAUGCUAAUACCGCAUAACAACUUUAAACAUAAGUUUUAAGUUUGAAAGAUGCAAUUGCAUCACUCAAAGAUGAUCCCGCGUUGUAUUAGCUAGUUGGUGAGGUAAAGGCUCACCAAGGCGAUGAUACAUAGCCGACCUGAGAGGGUGAUCGGUCACAUUGGGACUGAGACACGGCCCAAACUCCUACGGGAGGCAGCAGUAGGGAAUCUUCGGCAAUGGACGAAAGUCUGACCGAGCAACGCCGCGUGAGUGAAGAAGGUUUUCGGAUCGUAAACUCUGUUGGUAGAGAAGAACGUUGGUGAGAGUGGAAAGCUCAUCAAGUGACGGUAACUACCCAGAAAGGGACGGCUAACUACGU